Non-coding RNA from Mycena galopus ATCC 62051, 94 nucleotides. The record is from the annotation of a GenBank genome assembly. NCBI's taxonomy places the organism in Eukaryota, Fungi, Basidiomycota, Agaricomycetes, Agaricales, Mycenaceae.
GCGCCCUUGGUGUAGCAUUAACACACAUCCCGUUUGUUAUUUGAUAGGAACAAAUUUUACAGAUGAGUUUGGGGUUCGACUCCCCGAGGGUGCA